AAGUCGUAACAAGGUUUCCGUAGGUGAACCUGCGGAAGGAUCAUUAGUGAUUGGCCGAAAGGCCCAUUCAUAUCCUUACAACACCUGUGAACCGUGGCCCUCGGGCCUCUUUUUACAACACACUGUGUAAUGAACGUGUCAUAUUGUAACAAACAGAAAAACUUUCAACAACGGAUCUCUUGGCUCUC
This 188-nucleotide unclassified non-coding RNA is filed under the name Tremella sp. RNAcentral's name for it is "partial contains small subunit ribosomal RNA, internal transcribed spacer 1, and 5.8S ribosomal RNA". The stretch from base 1 to 46 matches the Rfam family "Eukaryotic small subunit ribosomal RNA", at positions 1786 to 1831 of the family's 1831-position model. The record is from RNAcentral. Lineage: Eukaryota; Fungi; Basidiomycota; Tremellomycetes; Tremellales; Tremellaceae.